GCCAGGCGUGGUGGUGGGUGCCUGUAAUCCCAGCUAUUUGGGAGGCUGAGACAGGAGACUCGCUUGAGCCCAGGAGGUGGAGACUGCAGUGAGGCAGUGAGUUGAGAUCACGCCACUGCACUCCAGCCUGGGUGACAGAGUGAGACUCUGUCUCAA
Chlorocebus sabaeus (green monkey) is the source of this 156-nucleotide non-coding RNA. It matches the Rfam family "Metazoan signal recognition particle RNA". From Rfam's summary of the family: The signal recognition particle (SRP) is a universally conserved ribonucleoprotein. It is involved in the co-translational targeting of proteins to membranes. The eukaryotic SRP consists of a 300-nucleotide 7S RNA and six proteins: SRPs 72, 68, 54, 19, 14, and 9. NCBI's taxonomy places the organism in Eukaryota, Metazoa, Chordata, Mammalia, Primates, Cercopithecidae. The record is from Rfam.